This 583-nucleotide small RNA is filed under the name Pan troglodytes (chimpanzee). Its description in RNAcentral is "retained intron". The record is from RNAcentral. Lineage: Eukaryota; Metazoa; Chordata; Mammalia; Primates; Hominidae.
UGUUGCUUAUACAUUCAUUAAUAUUAAUACAAAGAACUUGAGUAAAUUGAUGUACUUUUUCACUCAUAAUUUUUCUAUUACAGUUAAAUAUGAAAGGAUCAAAUUUUUGGUGAUUGCCUUAAAGAAUGCUGUGGAAAUAUAUGCUUGGGCUCCUAAACCGUAUCAUAAAUUCAUGGCAUUUAAGUCUUUUGCAGAUCUCCAGCACAAGCCUCUGCUAGUUGAUCUCACGGUAGAAGAAGGUCAAAGAUUAAAGGUUAUUUUUGGUUCACACACUGGUUUCCAUGUAAUUGAUGUUGAUUCAGGAAACUCUUAUGAUAUCUACAUACCAUCUCAUAUUCAGGGCAAUAUCACUCCUCAUGCUAUUGUCAUCUUGCCUAAAACAGAUGGAAUGGAAAUGCUUGUUUGCUAUGAGGAUGAGGGGGUGUAUGUAAACACCUAUGGCCGGAUAACUAAGGAUGUGGUGCUCCAAUGGGGAGAAAUGCCCACGUCUGUGGGUAGGUUAACCAUUCCUUAUCUCCUUCAGCAGUUACACCCCCCAAAUGAAACGAAAAUCAAGAAAUGUGAAACAACCAUUUGAUUCCAC